GCAGCCUGCAGGAAGAAACCAGAGGCCUUGUUCAUCUUGCAAGAUGCCUGGGCAUCUAAGACGUCAGAACAUACUUUCCAAAGACCUGACAGUGAACCCUACUCCGGAAGUGCUCUCAGCAGCCUGGACCAAAGUCACUUCCUCCAUAGUCUGCGGCCAUCUUUUCUUCAAGCUGAAGCUGGGUCAGAACUGGCAGGCCAGCUGAAGCACCAAGCCACAUCACAGUUCAGUGUGCUCCUAGCAUGUGUAAAGAACUCAUGGUAUGAAGCACUGUGGCCCCGACACAGGGUCCUGACCACUUCAGACCCCACAGAGGGGCCUGUCCUGCAGCAGUGGACUGAAGUACCUUCAGCAGACGGUCCCGUGGGUGUCUAGACAUGGGAUUGCU
This 388-nucleotide long non-coding RNA is filed under the name Chinchilla lanigera (long-tailed chinchilla). Its description in RNAcentral is "lncRNA (ENSCLAG00000027715.1)". The record is from RNAcentral. Lineage: Eukaryota; Metazoa; Chordata; Mammalia; Rodentia; Chinchillidae.